GGGGGCGACCUGGUUUCGACGGAGGUAGCGGGAGAAGAUAAGCGUGCCGAGGUACCCAAUUUCCUCGUUAAUCCAUUGGGACACAAUUUAAGUGCAGACUAUUCAUAUGCACUGGCUGCCUAAUUAAAAAAUAGGUAGCUCGUCUGCUCUGAGUUUGCUUGUUGGCUCGGAAACAGGCGUCGACUAAAACAAGCUGGUCUGGUCUCUGGCUCGGGGAGGUCAGGCGAGAUUUCACUGAGAUAGCAAGAGGUCAGGCCUGCUUGCCGGCGUGAUUUUUUGCGAAUAAAUAAAGACAGGCUACGCACGUAGAAAGUCUUUGUCUUGUGCCUUCGGACGGGGGUUCGAUUCCCCCCGCCUCCAUUA
Molecule: transfer-messenger RNA, 363 nt
Filed under: bacterium
Lineage: Bacteria
Description: SM1-73 sp001304225 Standard tmRNA
Rfam family: transfer-messenger RNA
About the family: Bacterial tmRNA, also known as 10Sa RNA or SsrA, is named for its dual tRNA and mRNA-like properties.
Source: RNAcentral